AAGUGUCUGGAGGCAGUUCGAUACAAAUGAAGGUGAACAAACUAAAAUGAAUUCCAAACAAGAUGGAGGUGAGAAGACCACCUAAUCUGGAUGAAGAGAUUCAACAGCUGUAUAGCUGAGUCCUCUGCCUCAAACUCACUAUGCUGCCUUUCCGCCCAACUCCUCGUCUACAACAUGGAGAUAAUGAUACUGGCCUGUCUUUCAGUGCUGCUGUAAAUUUUCCUGACACAUGAGAAAUGCUUUGAACACUAUGAAAGUGCUAUAGAAAUGGAUAUGAAGAGCAGAACAAGGAACAACAAUGUAACUAGAGGAAUUAACCCAAGAGAAGGAUCUGGAGAAGUUUAAAUAUCGGUGAAUAAGCAGCAAUAGCAAGAUGGAAGUGGUCGCCUGGGGUCCCUGGAAGAUCCACAGUGGGCCCCUCAGGUGUGUGUGCCUUCCAAUGUGUUCAACCAUUCUUA
Molecule: long non-coding RNA, 458 nt
Organism: Podarcis muralis (Common wall lizard)
Lineage: Eukaryota; Metazoa; Chordata; Lepidosauria; Squamata; Lacertidae
Source: RefSeq, a predicted model, not a curated record